CCUACGGGGAGCAGCAGUGGGGAAUAUUGGACAAUGGGCGAAAGCCUGAUCCAGCCAUGCCGCGUGUGUGAAGAAGGCCUUCGGGUUGUAAAGCACUUUCAGUGGGGAAGAAAGCCUUGGGGCUAAUACCCUCGAGGAAGGACAUCACCCACAGAAGAAGCACCGGCUAACUCCGUGCCAGCAGCCGCGGUAAUACGGAGGGUGCGAGCGUUAAUCGGAAUUACUGGGCGUAAAGCGCGCGUAGGCGGUCUGAUAAGCCGGUUGGGAAAGCCCCGGGCUCAACCUGGGAACGGCAUCCGGAACUGUCAGGCUAGAGUGCAGGAGAGGAAGGUAGAAUUCCCGGUGUAGCGGUGAAAUGCGUAGAGAUCGGGAGGAAUACCAGUGGCGAAGGCGGCCUUCUGGACUGACACUGACGCUGAGGUGCGAAAGCGUGGGUAGCAAACAGGAUUAGAUACCCGAGUAGUC
RNAcentral lists this ribosomal RNA (465 nucleotides) under Vreelandella stevensii. RNAcentral describes it as "partial 16S ribosomal RNA". It matches the Rfam family "Bacterial small subunit ribosomal RNA", at positions 338 to 795 of the family's 1533-position model. Lineage: Bacteria; Pseudomonadati; Pseudomonadota; Gammaproteobacteria; Oceanospirillales; Halomonadaceae. The record is from RNAcentral.